AGAGUUUGAUCAUGGCUCAGAGCGAACGCUGGCGGCGUGGCUUAGGCAUGCAAGUCGAACGUGAAAGCCCGCAAGGGUGAGUAAAGUGGCGAAAGGGUGAGUAAUAUAUCGAUAACCUACCCUCGAGACGGGGACAACAGCUCGAAAGGGCUGCUAAUACCCGAUGGUUCUGGGUUGAUGCAAUCUUCCCAGCUAAACGGUGGGGUCCUUCGGGACCUUCUGCUCGAGGAGGGGUCGAUAUCCUAUCAGCUAGUUGGCGGGAUAACAGCCCACCAAGGCUUUGACGGGUAGCCGGACUGAGAGGUCGACCGGUCACACUGGCACUGAGACACUGGCCAGACUCCUACGGGAGGCUGCAGUCGAGAAUCUUCCGCAAUGGGCGAAAGCCUGACGGAGCGACGCCGCGUGCAGGAUGAAGGCCCUCGGGUUGUAAACUGCUGUCAAAUGUUAGGAAUGGUUAGUCGCUAAUAACGGCUAACUUGACAAAGGCAUGAGAGGAAGUCACGGCUAACUUCGUGCCAGCAGCCGCGGUAAGACGAAGGUGGCAAGCGUUGCUCGGAAUCACUGGGCAUAAAGCGCGCGUAGGUGGCUUGAUAAGUCGGUGGUGAAAUCCCAUGGCUCAACCAUGGAACUGCCGUCGAUACUGUCAGGCUUGAGGGCGGUAGGGGAGAGUGGAACUCCUGGUGUAGCGGUGAAAUGCGUAGAUAUCAGGAGGAACGCCGGUGGCGAAAGCGACUCUCUGGGCCGUUCCUGACUCUAAAGCGCGAAAGCUAGGGGAGCAAACAGGAUUAGAUACCCUGGUAGUCCUAGCUGUAAACGAUGGGCACUAGGUAGAGGUGGUUUCGAAGCCUUCUCUGCCGGAGCUAAUGUAUUAAGUGCCCCGCCUGGGGAGUAUGGUCGCAAGGCUAAAACUCAAAGGAAUUGACGG
RNAcentral lists this ribosomal RNA (928 nucleotides) under uncultured bacterium. RNAcentral's name for it is "bacterial SSU rRNA". It matches the Rfam family "Bacterial small subunit ribosomal RNA", at positions 8 to 916 of the family's 1533-position model. The record is from RNAcentral.